Gasterosteus aculeatus (three-spined stickleback) is the source of this 2886-nucleotide long non-coding RNA. NCBI's taxonomy places the organism in Eukaryota, Metazoa, Chordata, Actinopteri, Perciformes, Gasterosteidae. The record is from Ensembl.
AAGACGGAAACGUUGAAUUAUAAGUAUAACCGUAAGGUCAGGAAUAUGAAACAAGUUAAGACCAAACUACAAGUUUAUAAAAGGUUAAUAGAUAUUUUUACACAUCAGUUCAAACAUUUGUUUGCCUAUGUGAGCUUUACAAUAUGAGAAACAUUACAAACAAAAACACAACAAAAAACAUCAAUAUCGUAGUCAUUAUUUAGAUCAUUUUGAUAAUGAUUGGAUUUUUAAAGAAAGCCCAUAGAGCCCGUCUUUACUGUAAGACCAGGCGUGAUGGUAAACACAUGGUGACUCGUUCAAACUUAACUUUAUUUAACUGAACCUCAAUAUCGCUGCUGCAGGUCUUCUUCUUCUAGCAUUAUUAUGGUGGCAUCUAUCCAAUUCUUGCAUAUUUGAGUAUUGGCCUUGGUUUAAAAACCUGCUUGUCACCCUAGUAGCCCCACUGGGAAACGUGCCACAGCGCCCGCACAGACUUGAACGGGUCGGUUUGGGCGGCACUUAAACCAAACAGCGUGUACCAGGAGCAUCAUAAGCAAUGGGCACUAAAACGAAAGAGCUGAAGGCAGUGUUACAAAGAUCCCCCAUCCGUUUCCGUGGAAACAGAGGAGACCUGCCCACCUGCACCGAAGAUUCAUCUGGAAGGGAGGAAGCAAAAAUAGCUCCGGAGGCCGGUGACGGGGGGAAACGGGAGCCCGAGGCGGAGCCGGCUCGGCCCGUCCUCGAGAGGCCUCCUGCCGCAACCGAGAGCCCGGAGAGGAAGGCCGCUUUUCCCGCCACGUGGGAGAAGAAGAGCCCGGUCGCUCCGCCGUCGCCGCAAACUUUCGAAAAGCCGACGCCGGGCGAAAAGAGCCCGAGCGCAACGCAAACCCGAUCGCCGGAACACCCCAGGGUGAGCCCCCUGUCCCACAAGAGGCAGAGCCCCGGCACGUCACCGGCCACGGCUGACGCGGGGGGGAGGACGCGCAGUCUCUAAACCGCACACGAUGAAGGCCGAGCCGGCAGACCAAAGAACUGAGCCGCCUCCGUCUGAAUAGCGAGCGCACAGGAGGAGCCACAGGUCUGUGAACGCGGGCGGGAUUGCGACGUUGGGCGGGUGCACUUGAUCCCAGCCAUGUUGGUCAUCUGUUUUUUUUUGGGGAACUUAAAGCCGGGUCAUUGAACCGCUCACUAACACCACCGACUGCCGAGGACGCUGGCAUGCAGGACCACAAGGCGGCUUGGAAGUUGUGCGCACAAACGGGCUUUGUCGUGAUACUUUCGUCCGUUGGCUGUGGAUUACUGCGCUCACGCUGGUCCCGAUCCAUGUACUGUAACAGCGUUUGUGCUACGAGCCAUGCCAUCUCUGGUAGGACAGACCAUGUGACAGGAAGUAGUCUUUGCCACGUUCACGUCAGCCCACUGAGUAACACGUGUGAUGAAGGGAAGCCAUGUUUUUCUUCUUCAUCCUGACGUGGUUUUGAGCUGGAACACAAAUCAGAACCACUUCAAUGAUAAAAAGGCAUGAUAUAAAAUAUCAGAAUGUGAUUGACAAACAUAUUACAGUGUUAGAAGGUGUUUAAUAUCCCUUCUCUUGCCACCCUAUCCCCGUCCAUCUUUAAACCACAGGUGAGAUGGGUUGGCAGGGGGCAGAAAACCGAUGAAUUGGCCAUUUCUGUUUAUGGACCAGGUCCAUUGGCUCCAUCAAGCUCACGGGGAGAGAUGUAACUGUACGUCAGGACCUCAGUAGUUCACCAUGACAAUUCCCUGUUAUUGUUUAAGAUCAUUCUUUAUAUUCCGUUGAGAGAAAAAAAAUAGACAAACGAAACAACGAUACGUGUCUUAUGCCACUUUCUUUAUAGAAGGGCCAACAACUAAACGCAAGGUCCAGUUCAGUCAGUCGGUAUAUGAUCGGUUCAAGAGCCUCGUCACCAUAUUUGGCUCAGUUGUUUUCUCCGGCAGGGGAAUUAUUCAUUCAGCGGAACAGCACAAGACCUUCGACUUUAUAAAGAAAUCGUAAGGUGGUAACUGGGAGGUUUGAAACCAGGCAAAUGUCCGGCUGUGUAAAGCUUAGUUUUUCAUACAAAUUAUGCUCUUGCUAUAAAAAAUGGAAAUGAACACAACAUCUUUAUAAAAAAAUAUAGUUUAUCCAAUGAAAGAAAAUAUGUCAAAACGUGUUUAUUUUCUCACAAUUUGUAUACAUUGAAGAUGAUGUCAAAACACAACCUUUGGUCCCGUUAUGCCAUCCAUGCGAUGAAAAUAUGUCCUGACUUGUUAAGAUGUCUUUAUAUCCACCUUUUUACAAUCUCACAGGGGUCACUAGAGUUCUGCAUGCAUCUGUUGACUCACAUCAGCGUGUGGCAUUCAACUCGAUUUAGGUUCCACCCUCCAUCAAACAACCACACACGUAAUCGUCCCAUCGCGCGACGCCGUAUGACCACACGACGAUGUGCGACAGCGGCAGUGUGUUCGCUCCAUCGAACUCUCAGGGCGGCUGUGAUGAACCUGAGCCUCCGUCUCAUCUCGGGGGAAGAGUUUACUUCCACCCCCCACGUUGCUCUCGGCCUUGCACGCACAGUAUAUGUACAAAGCUACAUGAAGCAAAUAGAAACAGAGCUAUGAACAGAGUGUAAAUCCAUAUCUAUACAUGUUAAUGAUUAAAACGAUUACGUUGUGUCAUGAUCUCGUUGCCUCUUGUUUUGUUUAACGUGUUCCGUCGCUCCUGAAAGUUGAGACGAUGAUCCUCAACUGAUCGGGGUUGCAUUCGAUGCAGACCUUUAUGGAUGUUCAGGAUGUAGUUCCUGGUCCUACAUUUUAUUAGACCGCGGUGACAUAUUAUGCAAAACCUACUCUUAGGUUAGGUCAGCGGUUCCCAAACUUUUUUUCCUGCGCACCCCCUUCCAUGUCUCA